CCUACGGGAGGCAGCAGUAGGGAAUAUUGCUCAAUGGGGGAAACCCUGAUGCAGCAACGCCGCGUGAGGGAUGACGGUUUUCGGAUUGUAAACUCCUUUUGUUAGAGACGAUAAUGACGGUAUCUAACGAAUAAGCCACGGCUAACUCCGUGCCAGCAGCCGCGGUAAUACGGAGGGUGCGAGCGUUACUCGGAAUUACUGGGCGUAAAGAGCGCGUAGGCGGGAUUGCAAGUCAGAUGUGAAAUCCUAUGGCUUAACCAUAGAGCUGCAUUUGAAACUGGUAUUCUAGAGUAUGGGAGAGGUAGGUGGAAUUCUUGGUGUAGGGGUAAAAUCCGUAGAGAUUAAGAGGAACACUCAUUGCGAAGGCGACCUGCUAGACCAUAACUGACGCUGAUGCGCGAAAGCGUGGGGAGCAAACAGGAUUAGAUACCCUAGUAGUC
RNAcentral lists this ribosomal RNA (440 nucleotides) under uncultured bacterium. RNAcentral describes it as "partial 16S ribosomal RNA". It matches the Rfam family "Bacterial small subunit ribosomal RNA", at positions 338 to 795 of the family's 1533-position model. The record is from RNAcentral.